AGAACGCGGGGAGGAGCGGCGGAAACUGAGGGUCUAUAAAAUACCGGCGACGUGAGCAACACUUCAGGAAUUAUUAAAGCGUUUUUAUUGAUCCUCGCUACCAUUUAGACGUGGUUUUGUUUUAUUUGUAUCUCUGUUUUUUGUUUCCUUGGUCGUAGCAUACCUCUGUAUCGAACUUCCGUCGCUAUAGAAACAUCGAUAUUUCCUUUCCGUAUUUGUGAAGGACCUGACCAGCGAUUUUAAACAUGUUUCCUGAAAGCAGCACUGGAUACUGCUAUGAGGAUUGCCAGGCCACAGCUGACUGGCUUCUGUCCCAGACUGCAGUGCGUCCUUUGGUAGGCAUCGUGUGUGGCUCAGGUUUGGGUGGACUGGCUGAUGUGUUGAAAGACCAGGUGAUCUUCAAAUACAAGGACAUCCCCAACUUCCCCCAAAGUACAGUGCACGGUCACGCAGGUCAACUAGUGUUUGGCAAUUUAAAGGGUAGAUCAUGUGUCUGCAUGCAGGGAAGGUUUCAUCUCUAUGAGGGAUAUCCCAUCCAAAAGGUACAAACACCUCAUUAUACUUGCAUCCUACCUUGUCCAAAAAAUUUUUUUUUUACCAUGUAAACAAUAUGGCUUUUUUUUUUU
This is a long non-coding RNA of Ctenopharyngodon idella (grass carp), 626 nucleotides long. RefSeq lists it as uncharacterized. The transcript has 3 exons. The record is from RefSeq and is a predicted model, not a curated record. NCBI's taxonomy places the organism in Eukaryota, Metazoa, Chordata, Actinopteri, Cypriniformes, Xenocyprididae.